ACGAACGCUGGCGGCGUGCCUCAUACAUGCAAGUAGAACGCUGAAGGAGGAGCUUGCUCUUCUGGAUGAGUUGCGAACGGGUGAGUAACGCGUAGGUAACCUGCCUGGUAGCGGGGGAUAACUAUUGGAAACGAUAGCUAAUACCGCAUAACAGUAGAUGUUGCAUGACAUUUACUUAAAAGGUGCAAUUGCAUCACUACCAGAUGGACCUGCGUUGUAUUAGCUAGUUGGUGGGGUAACGGCUCACCAAGGCGACGAUACAUAGCCGACCUGAGAGGGUGAUCGGCCACACUGGGACUGAGACACGGCCCAGACUCCUACGGGAGGCAGCAGUAGGGAAUCUUCGGCAAUGGACGGAAGUCUGACCGAGCAACGCCGCGUGAGUGAAGAAGGUUUUCGGAUCGUAAAGCUCUGUUGUAAGAGAAGAACGAGUGUGAGAGUGGAAAGUUCACACUGUGACGGUAUCUUACCAGUAAGGGACGGCUAACUACGUG
This 494-nucleotide ribosomal RNA is filed under the name uncultured bacterium. RNAcentral's name for it is "partial 16S ribosomal RNA". It matches the Rfam family "Bacterial small subunit ribosomal RNA", at positions 29 to 507 of the family's 1533-position model. The record is from RNAcentral.